Small nucleolar RNA from Mustela putorius furo (domestic ferret), 123 nucleotides. NCBI's taxonomy places the organism in Eukaryota, Metazoa, Chordata, Mammalia, Carnivora, Mustelidae. The record is from Ensembl.
CUGUAAGCCCUCAGCAUGCUUGGGUCUGCGGUGCUCUUGUGCAUGCUUGAAAGAACAUUUUGAAAUGGUCUGAGGCCUUUCCCUGUUCCACUCAGAGCAAGGUUACAGAAAUUUCAAACAGUU